ACUUUUUUAUUAUAAUAUAUUAUAUUUGACUUCCAAUCAAAAGAUCUUGAAUUCAAGAAAAAGUA
RNAcentral lists this transfer RNA (65 nucleotides) under Metatropis longirostris. RNAcentral's name for it is "tRNA-Gly". The record is from RNAcentral. Lineage: Eukaryota; Metazoa; Arthropoda; Insecta; Hemiptera; Berytidae.